This 206-nucleotide ribosomal RNA is filed under the name uncultured bacterium. Its description in RNAcentral is "partial 16S ribosomal RNA". It matches the Rfam family "Bacterial small subunit ribosomal RNA", at positions 568 to 773 of the family's 1533-position model. The record is from RNAcentral.
UGCGUAGGCGGCGGCGCAAGUUGGGUGUGAAAUCCCUCGGCUCAACCGAGGAACUGCGCUCAAAACUGCGUCGCUUGAGGAAGAUAGAGGUGAGUGGAACUUAGGGUGGAGCGGUGAAAUGCGUUGAUAUCCUAAGGAACACCAGUGGCGAAAGCGACUCACUGGGUCUUCUCUGGCGCUGAGGCACGAAAGCUAGGGUAGCAACG